GCUUACGGCCAUACCACCCUGAGCACGCCUGACCUCGUCUGAUCUCGGAAGCUAAGCAGGGUCGGGCCUGGUUAGUACUUGGAUGGGAGACCGCCUGGGAAUACCAGGUGCUGUAAGCU
This 119-nucleotide ribosomal RNA is filed under the name Betta splendens (Siamese fighting fish). The record is from RNAcentral. Lineage: Eukaryota; Metazoa; Chordata; Actinopteri; Anabantiformes; Osphronemidae.